RNAcentral lists this ribosomal RNA (1359 nucleotides) under Abraximorpha esta. Its description in RNAcentral is "16S ribosomal RNA". The record is from RNAcentral. Lineage: Eukaryota; Metazoa; Arthropoda; Insecta; Lepidoptera; Hesperiidae.
GGGGAAGAUUUAAUAAUAAUAAAUUAAUAAUAAAAAAAUUUUUAAAAUAUAUUUUAAUGGGGGUUAAAGUAAUUUUAAAAAAAAAUUUAUAAAUUUAUAGUUAAGUAGUAUUGUAUAAGAAUGUUGAAAUAAUUGAAAAUUUAAUUAUAAUUAAAGUAAAUUUAAUUUAUUGUAUCUUGUGUAUCAGAGUUUAUUAAUAAAAAUUUUUAAGUAGAUAAAUCUCGAAUUUUAAAAGAGAUAAUUAAUUAAAAAAGUUAUUGUUUCAUAAAUAUUUUAAAUAAUUAAUUUGAAAUGAAAUGUUAAUCGUUUUUAAAGAUAUCUAGUUUUUUUAGAAAUAAAUUUAAUUUAGAAUUUUUUUUUUAAGAUAUUUAAUUUUUAAAUUAAAUAUCUUAAAAAAAAUUUAAUAUUUUAGGGGAUAAUCUUUAAAUUAAAUUUUUAUAAUUAUAUAAAAUGAAAAUUAAAAUUUUUAAAAUUUAUAUUGUUUAUAAAUUAUAUAUUUUUAUAAAAAAUUUUAUUAAUAAAAAAAUUUUUAAAAUAAAAAUUUAAUUUUUUAUAAAAAAAUAAUUUUAUUAAAAAAAAAAUUAGUUAUAAUGAUAAAAUUAGUAUAUAAAUAAAUAUAUAUAUAUAUAUAUAUAUAAAUAAUUAAUUAAAAGGAAUUCGGCAAAUAUUAAUAUUCACUUGUUUAUCAAAAACAUGUCUUUUUGUUAAAAAUUUAAAGUCUAAUCUGCCCACUGAUAUUAAUUAAAGGGCUGCAGUAUAUUGACUGUACAAAGGUAGCAUAAUCAUUAGUCUUUUAAUUGAAAACUUGUAUGAAAGAAUUUGAUGAAAUAUUAACUGUCUCUUAAUUAAAAUUAAAAUUUAAUUUUUUAGUAAAAAAGCUAAAAUAUAUUUAAAAGACGAGAAGACCCUAUAGAGUUUUAUUAUUAAUUUAUUUUUAAUAUUAAAUAAAUUUUUUUUUUUAUAAAUAUAAAUUAAUAAUUUUAUUGGGGUGAUAAAAAAAUUAAAUAAACUUUUUUAAAUAAUUAAAACAUUAAUGUAUGAAUUUUUGAUCCAUAAUUUAUGAUUAAUAGAAAAAAUUACCUUAGGGAUAACAGCGUAAUUUUUUUUUUUAGUUCAAAUAAAAAAAAAAGUUUGCGACCUCGAUGUUGGAUUAAGAUAAAAUUUAAAUGUAGAAAUUUAAAAUUUUGAUCUGUUCGAUCAUUAAAAUCUUACAUGAUCUGAGUUCAAACCGGUGUAAGCCAGGUUGGUUUCUAUCUUUAAAAAAUUAGAAUAUUUUAGUACGAAAGGAUUAAAUAUUUAAAAUAAUUUUAAAUUAAAAGAAUAUUAUUAAAUUAUAAUAAAAAUUAAUAAAUUAAAUUU